AGUGAACGCUGGCGGUAGGCCUAACACAUGCAAGUCGAACGGCAGCACAGUAAGAGCUUGCUCUUACGGGUGGCGAGUGGCGGACGGGUGAGGAAUACAUCGGAAUCUACUUUUUCGUGGGGGAUAACGUAGGGAAACUUACGCUAAUACCGCAUACGACCUACGGGUGAAAGCAGGGGAUCUUCGGACCUUGCGCGAUUGAAUGAGCCGAUGUCGGAUUAGCUAGUUGGCGGGGUAAAGGCCCACAAAGGCGACGAUCCGUAGCUGGUCUGAGAGGAUGAUACCCCCAAAGGGAAGUGAAGACCGGCGCAAACCCCAUGGGGGGGGCGCAGGGGGAAAUUUGGGAAAAGGGGCGGAAGCCUGACCCCGCCAAACCGGGUGGGUGAAGAAGGCCUUCGGGCUGUAAAGCCUUUUUGUGGGGAAAAAAAAGCAGCAGGUUAAUCCCCCGUUUUUCUGACGGUACCCAAAGAAUAAGCACCGGCUAACUUCGG
RNAcentral lists this ribosomal RNA (491 nucleotides) under uncultured bacterium. RNAcentral's name for it is "partial 16S ribosomal RNA". It matches the Rfam family "Bacterial small subunit ribosomal RNA", at positions 29 to 506 of the family's 1533-position model. The record is from RNAcentral.